AACGCAUAUUGCGCCCUCUGGUAUUCCGGAGGGCAUGCCUGUCCGAGCGUCAUUGCAACCCCUCAAGCCCGGCUUGUGUGUUGGACCUUCGUCCCCCGUGGACGGGCCCGAAAUGCAGUGGCGACAUGGCGAUCUAACGUCCUGAGUGCAUGGGAAUCCGUUCUCGCUCCAGGGGCAGGGUCGACCGUGGCUGCCUAAAUUCUUUCUCAGGUUGACCUCGGAUCAGGUAGGAGUACCCGCUGAACUUAA
This 249-nucleotide unclassified non-coding RNA is filed under the name uncultured fungus. Its description in RNAcentral is "partial contains 5.8S ribosomal RNA, internal transcribed spacer 2, and large subunit ribosomal RNA". The stretch from base 1 to 52 matches the Rfam family "5.8S ribosomal RNA", at positions 103 to 154 of the family's 154-position model. The record is from RNAcentral. Lineage: Eukaryota; Fungi.